CCAAUGGCGGGUGCUACCAUGCAGUCGACGAUGAGUGGAGCUUGCUCCACGGAUUAGUGGCGAACGGGUGAGGAACACGUGAGAAACCUGCCUCGGAUUUUGGGAUAACAAAUGGAAACGUUUGCUAAUACCAAAUAACGUCGGAGAGUCACAUGACAUUCUGACGAAAGGAAUUCCGAUUCGAGAGGGUCUCGCGGCCUAUCAGCUUGUUGGCGGGGUAAUGGCCCACCAAGGCAACGACGGGUAGCUGGUCUGAGAGGAUGGUCAGCCACACUGGGACUGAGACACGGCCCAGACUCCUACGGGAGGCAGCAGUGGGGAAUCUUGCGCAAUGGGCGAAAGCCUGACGCAGCAACGCCGCGUGCGGGAAGAAGGCUUUCGGGCUGUAAACCGCUUUCAGCAGGAACGAAAAUGACGGUACCUGCAGAAGAAGGAGCGGCCAACUAUGUGCCAGCAGCCGCGGUGAUACAUAGGCUUCAAGCGUUGUCCGGAUUUAUUGGGCGUAAAGAGUUCGUAGGCGGUCGAGUAAGUCGGGUGUGAAAAUUCUGGGCUCAACCCAGAGACGCCACCCGAUACUGCUUAACUUGAGUUCGAUAGGGGAGUGGGGAAUUCCUAGUGUAGCGGUGAAAUGCGCAGAUAUUAGGAGGAACACCGGUGGCGAAGGCGCCACUCUGGAUCGACACUGACGCUGAGGAACGAAAGCAUGGGUAGCAAACAGGAUUAGAUACCCUGGUAGUCCAUGCGGUAAACGGUGGGCACUAGGUGUGGGUUUCUAUUAACGAAAUCCGCGCCGUCGCUAACGCAUUAAGUGCCCCGCCUGGGGAGUACGGUCGCAAGACUAAAACUCAAAGGAAUUGACGG
RNAcentral lists this ribosomal RNA (861 nucleotides) under uncultured Actinomycetes bacterium. Its description in RNAcentral is "bacterial SSU rRNA". It matches the Rfam family "Bacterial small subunit ribosomal RNA", at positions 36 to 916 of the family's 1533-position model. Lineage: Bacteria; Bacillati; Actinomycetota; Actinomycetes. The record is from RNAcentral.